Molecule: ribosomal RNA, 253 nt
Filed under: uncultured prokaryote
Description: partial 16S ribosomal RNA
Rfam family: Bacterial small subunit ribosomal RNA
Source: RNAcentral
UACGUAGGCAGCAAGCGUUGUUCGGAGUUACUGGGCGUAAAGAGUGCGUAGGCGGUCCUUUAAGUUUGGUGUGAAAUCUCCCGGCUCAACUGGGAGGGUGCGCCGAAAACUGGAGGGCUUGAGUAUGGGAGAGGCAAGCGGAAUUCCUGGUGUAGCGGUGAAAUGCGUAGAUAUCAGGAGGAACACCUGUGGCGAAGGCGAUCAUCUGGGGUUGUUCUGACGCUCAUGAGCGAAAGCCAGGGGAGCAAACGGG